Poeciliopsis prolifica (blackstripe livebearer) is the source of this 672-nucleotide long non-coding RNA. RefSeq lists it as uncharacterized. The transcript has 3 exons. Lineage: Eukaryota; Metazoa; Chordata; Actinopteri; Cyprinodontiformes; Poeciliidae. The record is from RefSeq and is a predicted model, not a curated record.
GUGUGGACCUAUCUCAUUUUACCCAGAGAUAACCACAAGCUGUAUUACUAAUAACUUCUUUUCUGACUGCAUUACGACCAAAUAAGCUGCAAUUGUCAGGGGAAACAUCCUGAACCUGUCAGCGACAUGGUGGUGCAGAAGCCUAAAACUAUGGGGAAAAGAUAUCUGCACUCCACACUUUACAGAGCUUACACAGAUCCUGACAUCAGGAGAAAAAUUACACCUGCUGGAGUCCCAACCACUUAUGGCUCUUGUCCUCGAUGGUCUUUCUGAUUUGGAGCUGGUUCCAUCCAAAUUUGGGCCUGUGUCACAGGGCUCACCAAUGUCUUAUCAGAGUCUGCCUCAGAAGUCCUCUGGUAGCACCAUUCUGCACCACUUGACUCCAGACUUCCCUUCUCCUCCUUUGACGCUUCCAAAUGUUUUAUGCUGUAAUGAAGGUCUUCAUUACUUGGAUGGAAAACACUUAAAAGGGUGUGUUGAAUGAUAAAAGAGACAGAAGGAAGUAUUUUAUUGUCUGUUUUUAUACGGUGGCAUUUCAGCUGGAACUGAUGAUGUCCCGUUAAAAUAAAACAAAUGAAUGGAAUGGGUCUCGUAACUGUUUGAAAUGCACUGAAAUGUUUGUGUAGAUGUAACUUACCUCUGUCUCAUCCUCUGCAGGGUGUUCAGGCUUAA